Molecule: ribosomal RNA, 471 nt
Filed under: uncultured bacterium
Lineage: Bacteria
Description: bacterial SSU rRNA
Rfam family: Bacterial small subunit ribosomal RNA
Source: RNAcentral
ACUCCUACGGGAGGCAGCAGUGGGGAAUAUUGCACAAUGGGGAAACCCUGAUGCAGCCAUGCCGCGUGUGUGAAGAAGGCCUUCGGUUGUAAAGCACUUUCAGUAGGGAGGAAGGUAGUGUAGUUAACACCUGCAUUAUUUGACGUUACCUACAGAAGAAGCACCGGCUAACUCCGUGCCAGCAGCCGCGGUAAUACGGAGGGUGCGAGCGUUAAUCGGAAUUACUGGGCGUAAAGCGCAUGCAGGCGGCCUGUUAAGUCAGAUGUGAAAGCCCGGGGGCUUAACCUCGGAAUUGCAUUUGAAACUGGCAGGCUAGAGUCUUGUAGAGGGGGUAGAAUUUCAGGUGUAGCGGUGAAAUGCGUAGAGAUCUGAAGGAAUACCAGUGGCGAAGGCGGCCCCCUGGACAAAGACUGACGCUCAGAUGCGAAAGCUGGGGAGCGAAACAGGAUUAGAUACCCUGGUAGCACAGAG